Non-coding RNA from Phlebiopsis gigantea 11061_1 CR5-6, 101 nucleotides. NCBI's taxonomy places the organism in Eukaryota, Fungi, Basidiomycota, Agaricomycetes, Polyporales, Phanerochaetaceae. The record is from Rfam.
GGCUCAGUGGUCUAGUCGCAUGAUUCCUGCUUCGGGAGUUUCCCCUGGUACAUUCAACCAGAAACUGCAGGAGGUCCCGGGUUCAAUUCCCGGCUGAGCCC